Long non-coding RNA from Raphanus sativus (radish), 554 nucleotides. RefSeq lists it as uncharacterized. The record is from RefSeq and is a predicted model, not a curated record. The transcript is spliced from 3 exons. Lineage: Eukaryota; Viridiplantae; Streptophyta; Magnoliopsida; Brassicales; Brassicaceae.
ACAGAACAAAAAAUCAGAAACGCCUCUCUUUCUCUCACGCGACGGUUUCCUCAUGCUUCUCCUUCUUCGCCGCGGCUCCGGGACCACGAGUUCCACCAGCUUCCCGCCGCCUGGUUCGAUCAGUGCGGAUUGUAUGUCGAUAGCAACGACGAGUCGUUACGCGUGACGCUCUACUCGUUCCUCGACGGAUUCGAGAACAGAGAGAUACCUAACGCGCUUUCAUCGAGAAGCAGAUCGCGAACCACCACGGAAAUAAAAACUUUAUUAUUGGAUGAUGUGUUGACCUUUGUGUGAUUUGGAUUGUUGUUGUUGUUGGCAGGUCCAGUUGGUAAGGAUCCAAAUGAGAGUGCAUGAGUAUGGCUGGACCACUCAGUAGGUCUUUCAUCUUAUGAACUUUGUCGUCAAUGGAGUUCUAUUUUGGAUUUCACCAUCAAGUGUUUCUCGUCCAUCCCAAGGCUCUUUGCUGGAUACUAUUGGAUCUUCUGGGUCUCCUCUUCUUCUCGGCAUACACACUGCUCGUGUUGUUCUGGGCAGAGAUAUAUCACCAGGCAAGU